This 457-nucleotide ribosomal RNA is filed under the name uncultured bacterium. RNAcentral describes it as "partial 16S ribosomal RNA". It matches the Rfam family "Bacterial small subunit ribosomal RNA", at positions 338 to 795 of the family's 1533-position model. The record is from RNAcentral.
CCUACGGGUGGCAGCAGUGGGGAAUAUUGCACAAUGGGGGAAACCCUGAUGCAGCGACGCCGCGUGAGUGAAGAAGUAUUUCGGUAUGUAAAGCUCUAUCAGCAGGGAAGAAACCCACCCUCCGGGGUGGCUGACGGUACCUGACCUACAAGCCCCGGCUAACUACGUGCCAGCAGCCGCGGUAAUACGUAGGGGGCAAGCGUUAUCCGGAUUUACUGGGUGGAAAGGGAGCGUAGACGGCGAUGCAAGUCUGAAGUGAAAGGCGGGGGCCCAACCCCCGAACUGCUUUGGAAACUGUAUGGCUAGAGUGCAGGAGAGGUAAGUGGAAUUCCUAGUGUAGCGGUGAAAUGCGUAGAUAUUAGGAGGAACACCAGUGGCGAAGGCGGCUUACUGGACUGUAACUGACGUUGAGGCUCGAAAGCGUGGGGAGCAAACAGGAUUAGAUACCUGUGUAGUC